CCAGCCCCAGCCCCAGCCCAGGCCGGCAUCAUGGCAGUGGGAGGCUUUGAGGAUCAGGGCAUCUAUCGCAUGUCCCUCAGCAGGGUUGGUCGAUGAUGAAUGUGUUUGGACUUCUGUCUCCGCAGGCUUUGGCUCCAAACCGGCCCCAGAGCAUGUGGGGAUGGGGAUGGCUGGGGUAGGGCAGGAGGGAGUCCCAGCCUGAGGGCAUGGCAAGGCUGCUGGCUGCCCUAUGGCAGAUCAUGAGGAAAGAGGUCUGGAAGGGGCAGUGGCCCUGAUAUAGCGCAGGAAUCUCGCGGCUGGUGGCAUUACAUGCCAUGUGACUCCCUUUCCUUCAGCAGUUCCCUUGCCCAGUUACACUGUAAAGCUUCAGAUGAGUUUGGGCUGUGUGUGAGGGCCGGAGCUGCCUGCAGCUCCCCUGCCCUUCAGCCCACCCACUGUAUCCUGCACACCCCUUGCUGUUCACACUCCUGGGGAUUUGGCACUAAGGUGAUGCAGGGUACAUCCCUGAGCCUGGUUUGCGUGGGCACUCUGGCCAUCUUCCCACACUGGGUAACUGCCUUCUGUCUCCCCAAAUUCCCCCUGCAGUUUCAAGUGGAUGUGGGAUUCUCCUUCUCUUCCAGUCCUAGUCUGUUGUGUAGCGUUGCUGCGCGCUGCUCUGCCGCUGCUGCCUUCCAGCCCAGAGGUGGCUGCAUUGCAGUGGUGGCUGGUGGGGACCACAUUACAGGAGUGCAACCCACAGCCCCUGCCAUGCCACACGCCGGUUGCUGCUUCCGUCCCCUCUCCCUCCUGGGCUGUCACACUGACCUGAAGCAGGAAGGAUUUGAGGGGAAGGCUGGUUCCGUGACAGGUUUUCCUGGUGAGACCUCCCUGGGGAUGGGAAGAGGAAACGGAAUGCUGCCCCUGGCUGUUGCAGCCACAGGCUCCCAUGAGACAGCAGCCACGAGUGAGCAGCCAGCAACAGCUGAAGAUGCAUCAGACACAAGCCUGCAUGGCUCUGGCGUGGCAGGCUUGCUCCAGAAUGUCCAGCAAGUGCUGGUGCAGAUCCUGCAGACAUCACGGCGGCAGCAGGCACUACUGGAGAGCCUGGCCAGCGACACAGUCUCCCAACUCCACCUCCUUUCCCAAAGCCUCAUGCAGGUGGGCGAGACCCUGAACCAACUCUUGCUCCGGCCACAGAUCCAUCCUGGCCCCAUUGGCCACUACGUCCCCCAUAUGCCCCUUUUUGAGGGUGGCUCUGGAGUGCCCUGCUCCUCUGGUGCUUCCCACACUUCCCUGGAUCACAAAGAGGAGCCUCAGCUGUUCCCCGAAGCCAGGUGCAUCACCCCAUGAGUGCCACUAUCACUGGCCACAGGAGCAAGAGCUUUACUACACAGCCACAGCACAGAUUUUUAUAUCACAGGUUCCAGAUAUUUUCAAAGUUUAUACUAGAGAGACACUUAAAUAAAAUUAAAAAUAGCUUUUCUACUAGUGAUGGC
RNAcentral lists this long non-coding RNA (1475 nucleotides) under Cyanistes caeruleus (blue tit). Its description in RNAcentral is "lncRNA (ENSCCEG00000005485.1)". The record is from RNAcentral. Lineage: Eukaryota; Metazoa; Chordata; Aves; Passeriformes; Paridae.